CCCUGGCGAGGGGUUACUGGGCAGACCAUGCCAAGGUCUGCCUCUCCCCCGCCCCCCAACCCGGCCACGCAACUGAUCCGGUAUAAAGGGAGUCUAUUUGGGGGAAGGAGGGUUGGGCCUGGAGAAGGAGUAGAGGCGGAUGGGCAGGCAGGAGCAGAGCCAUGAGUGGGGGGGUGGGGUGGCGGGGGAGGGCGGGGGAUGGGCGGAGAGGGUGGAGGAGUCUGCAGAGAAGGACAGAAAGAAGGAGAGACCGGCCAGAAGCACGUGCGAUCAGGGAGAGAGCUGGAGUCCGGCCCACACCUGAAGCACCAGGUGAUGGCAGUUAAUGAUGAUGACGUAAGCAGUUGCUAGCAAUAGCCUGUAAACUGACAACAGAGAGCAGAUGUGGUCUCGAGCCUGCCCCAGCACCUCAUACACAAGCUACUUCAACAGCGCCUCACAGGAAACUGGCCGUGGCCUGUGUUCCGGCUCCCUUCUCAUCCCCUUUUUCAGUUUCCACAUCUAAUCUCCUCAGUCUUCACAGUAGACUCACCAACCGUAGAGCCGCAGAGCCAGAAAAAGAAGGCUAAGCCAUGAAAGGGAAAUUUAAAUCUUUGCUCUUUCUUAUCAGCAAACCCCAGAUGGGAGAGCAAGGGCUUGAGGAAGGACAGAAGGACGGCCAUAAGACUAUGCAGUGCUGUGUUCUUUCCAGAGACUUGGGAUAUGGUUGCUAUGGUGGGCAGCUGGGGUGGCUCUAGUUUUUAUCCUUGUGUUGGUUGGUUUCUCAGUUUGCUCACUGAAAGCUGUCUCUAAAGAUGUACUUCAGUAAGCAACACAAACAGGCCCGGAGUUUCUGGGUGUGAAAUACAGGAAGAAAUACAAAGGCCUAAGAACGGACUUGAGAUAUGUCAUAUGCCCCGCAUUAACCUGAAAUCCACAACCCUCAGUAAAGACUGACGUUUUACUUAUACCAUUGAGAAGUUCUCGUGCUCGCUUCGGCAGCACAUAUACUAAAAUUGGAAUGAUACAGAGAAGUCUCUCUCUCUCUCUCUCUCUCUCUCUCUCUCUCUCUCUCUCUCUCUCUCCCGGAGUGUCAGAACCCUUGUGAGCGAGACCCUGCACUGAAAUCAUCACCCAAUUCCUGGAAGGGUGGGAGGGUGCAAAAGCCACAGGCAACACGGCACUGAGCUAUUAGAGAGGCAUGCCACUUGGGCCAGCAAGAGGGCACACACCCUUAAUCCCAGCAUUUAGGAGGCGAAGGCCAGCCUGUGUUACGCUGACAUCCUGUCUUCAAAAUAUAAACAAACAAAUAUGGUGACCAUUGACAAAAGUGCUAAAUUUUGUCUCUGUGUUGGUGUCAAAUUAACUAGUCAAAAGAUCUAUAAUUAAUUGGAGAAGUGGAACAAGUAUUGUCUUGGCCUUUGGGAAGAUGAAGCAAGAGGGUUGACCGGUCAAGGCUAAGGCAAGAACUUGCCUUUUAAAAAAAAGUUAUAAUUAAAACAAUGCCCACGAGAUUUUAUUUGAUUAUGAAACCACCAUAUUCUAAGUGAGGCAAAAAGAGGCUUUACUUGAGCCCCUAAGCACAAAUCCUGCCUUAACUCCCCACAGUUAUUCAUUUCAGGGACUUUCCAGGACUCUGAGCCCCCUCCAGACGAAGGAACUUAAGUGUAUUCGCCCAUUCCUUUAAUCUCGGCACUCAGGAGGCAGAGGCAGGCCGAUCUCUGAGUUCAAGAGUUCAAGGCCAGCCUAGUCUGCAGAGAGAGUUCCAGGACAGCCACGGCUACAGAGAGAGAGAGAGAGAGAGAGAGAGAGAGAGAGAGAGAGAGAGAGGACACAAUAGUGCCAUGGAACAUGUGGUUGUUGGCCUCGUUCUCAUCUUCUCCAAGUAGAAGGUUAUGUAUGUGGCUUAAUGUACAGCUAAGGGAAGAAAUUCCCUGAGUCUUUGACUGUGAUAUGGGAGACUGGAAUACUACUAUGAACAACCUACCGGUCUGAUGCUGAGCAGAUCAUAACGGCUUUGUUCUACCCAUCUUCACACAGGUUCCUGCGCAUGCCCAACUCACCGUGCUGCUGGGCGCAUAGAGAGAAUACAUCCAUCCCUUUGCAUUUCUCAUUGACUUCCUACCUUCUGCUAUGACAGCUAUCGCGACCAAAAUCGUAGGUUAAGCCUUGAAAGCAAGACUAUUCAACCCAAGUAUACAUGGGCUGUAUAUCUAAGUUUUCUUUUGCCACAUUUUUAAAUGUUAAAAAAAAACAUAGAAGCUAAUUCCUAACAGCUCAUUUACUAUAACAUAAUCAAAUAGUAUUACUUUGAUAUUCAGUCAAUAUGUACACAAUGUAUCAACGUAGUUAUUUUUAUAUUUGCCUUCAAAACGUGGUAUUUUAUACUCAAAGGACAUCUCAGCAUGGACUUUAUAUAUUUCACAAGCUUGGUAGCCACGUGUGACCAGCGGCUUUACAACCCCCACCCUCACCCCACUCUCCACUGUUGCCCUCUGCCCUGUGUGAUUGCCAAAAGCAAUGCUGUCACCUUCUGGGAAGAUCUCAGAGACUCACAUGCAAUUAAAAAUGGCCGAAAGUCAUGAGGUGGGCUCAGGGUUCCUUCUGUGUCACCUCUAACAUUCCUGCUUGAUUUAUGCUGCCGGGAUUUUUUUUUUUUUUAAAGUAUACUCGUUUGUUCUCCUGCUCCAGAGGUGACCUUACAAUGGAGAUCAGCACAGUUUCUCGUAUCUGGUAAGCAUCCCUGAUUGUGGAAAUGGUUUUGACCUAGCCAACAAGACAGUGUUGGUUGUAAUUUGUUCCCAUUUGGUGGGUACAAUUGUACCCUGCCCCGUCUUGCCUGGGAAAUUUAUCUCCUCUGUCCUGCACCAUGUUUUAGGCCAUGCCUCUUUUCCUCCGUAUUUCUCAGGACAUCGAGACAGCAAACUUAACAGGACCGGAUAGCCAAGAUCUAGGUACAAGUGCUAGGAGCAAGAGUGAGUCCAAUAUGACCCCAGGGAUCCUUUAAGUGAGGCAAAGAGGCAGAAAAUGAAGACUUCUUAAUUUGAGGAUGGAGGUAAAUGCCCAGAGACAACGAAAGAGCGGGCUGCUGAGCCAGAAAAGGGCAAGACGGACAAUCCUCGGGGUCUCUGUGAGGAAAGAAACUGAGCCGACGCCUGGACACCACUCCUGUGAGCCUCAUCUCCAACCUCAAACCUCCAGUCCUGUAAAGAAAAAGGCCCCCACAAACUUCAUGGUCAUUUUGCAGCAGACCCGUGUUGUUUUCCACAGCCGAUGCUGGAAGGCCAGCACUUCCUGUGUUAGCCCUACUGUGCUAUUCUAGCCCAUCAGCAGAAACAAGUGCAGUCGGGAGAUUACAGGAUAACCAGGAAGUGGUGCAGAGCUCUGAAAAAGGAAUGGAUCCUGUGCCAUUAGAAUUCAAGUAUGAGAAAGAGGUCACUCCCAACUUAAGAAAGCUCUUGAGACCAGGGGGUGGAAAAACUAUGAUCCAUGGCAGUCUUGGAAGAUUGGUGAACAUAGACAAAAUUAAUAUACUUUUUAAUGUAUCAUAACCACUAAAUGAAAUGGAAGCGAGUCUGCUGGUGUUUAAACCCUUAGCUAACAUGUUCGGCUGCCAUCUAAGGUCUGAUAGCGCUCAAAAAAUUCUUUCCUAAAACUUACAAACUAAAAGAGAGUGAGGGAAGAUCUCUUUCUCCUGGAAGGCGUUACCUACAUAAGAAAACCAAGCUCAGCAGCUAAGAACACUUGCUACAUUUGCAAAAGACUGGGGUUUGGGUCCCAGCAUCCACAUGGUCACUCAUAACCCCAAUUCCAGGGGAUCCGGUGCCCUCAUCUGGCCUCCUCAGGCACUAGGCUGUAUCUUUACAUAGAUGCAGUCAGGACACUCACGCAUAAUAAGCAACACUUUAGAAAAAAAAAUCAAAACUGGAAGCAAAUGUCGUCCCCUGGCAAUGGCCUUGUCUAAGUUUGCAUGCAGCUGGAGAGAGUUUAGAAGGAGGGUGAGACCACUAUCAAAUGCCACAGAAGCUGAUGCAGGAGCUGAGGAUAGCCCUUCCAGUCAGCAACUCACUGGCCCUUCCCCUUUCUAAGCCUUUCUUGAUAACAAUGUCUACCCUCUCCGUAUCUGUGUCUAGAGGCUGAACACCCCAUUCUAGAGCUGAAUGCUCUCUGUCAGAGUCCUCCAGCAGACGAAAAUCAUAAUAGGGGCCAACCCGUGUCUAAGCCUCAGAGAGCAGCUAAGUGAAACCCUUCUCUAUGAAGAAGAAGGUAAGGUUAGGCUCAUAUGCAGAAGGGACUCAGACUUACUCCUCUAGCCAAAAGCUGAACUGAACUUGGUGUGAAGCUUUCUUGCAGUAAGCAAAGCACUUAAGACAAUGUUGACCCUAGGGGCAGACUCCGUGAGUUCAAAUCCCGGCUUUACCUCUGUCAGCUGGGAGAGCUGAACAACCACCUUCGCAUUUCCAGACUCAGCUACUCUCUCUAUAAAAACAAAGGCUAUUGCUGAGCAGGGGUGCUGAUGUCUUUGAUUGUAGCACUUGGGAGGCAGAGGCAGGUGGAUUUCUGUGUAUUCAAGGUCAGCCUGGUCUUUAGAGUGAGUUACAGUACAGUCAGGGCUACCCAGAGAAACCCUGUCUCGAAAAGCUACACAAACAAACAAAUAAAACAACAACACCCACAACAGAAACAAAAACUAAAGACUACCUUAGAACCCAUCUCACUAAAUUAUUAUUUUGAUGAAAUGAAAUCAAAGAAAAAGCAGUUUACUCACACCUCCUAGAGUAACCACUCCACACAGAACAGAAAACAAAGCCCAGGCAGGCCCUUCCUUCCCUUACCUUCUUCAAAAAUACUUCCCAAGCCUGAUUUUCGCUCUCUAGAUCCAGUUACUGAGUAGAGAUAUUGGAACUUCUGAGAGUUGAUUGUGAUUCCUCUACCCAUGGUUUUGCUCAAAACAGAGGCAGGAGAGGGAGAAGGGACAGAGAUCUCAGCUUCAUAACCCCCAUCCCACCCCGUGCCUGUUUGCUUGGGAUCGGAGAAGUGAAUACCCCCAGAGGACACACAGGCAUUUAAGAACUGAAGCAAGCACGAGACAGGUGUUAAAUGUGGACAGUUUACCUCAGACCCUGUCUUGUGUGGCUGCCUUCUCUUGCAUGUCUUGUGAUGUUGAGAACCAACAUAAAAAUAGACAUUAUGGAGGGCUGGAGAGAUGAUUUGGUGGUUAAAAGCUACUCUUCCAGAGGACCACAGUUUGGUUCCAGCAUCCACGAUGGGCAGCUUACGACAAACUGGCCCUCCAGUUCCCGGGGAUUCUAUACCCCCUUUGGGUGUCCAAAGGCAUAGGAGUCAUGUGUUCCCACACACUUACACACACACACACACACACACACACACACACACACACACACACACACACACUAUUAAAAAUUAAAAUAAAAUCUCCAAGAAAAACAGUGUGAUGGUUUGUAUAUGCUUGGCCAGGGAGUGGCACUAUCUGGAGAUGUGGUCUUGUUGGAGUAGGUGUGUUACUAUGGGAGUGGGAUUUGAGACCCUCAUUCUAGCUGCCUGAAAGCCAGUCUUCUCCUAGCAGCCUUCAGAUGAAGAACUCUCAGCUGCUCCUACACCAUGCCUGCCUGGAUGCUGCUAUGUUCUCAUGGACUGAACCCUGAACCUGUAAGCCAGCCCCAAUUAAAUGUUGUCCUUUAUAAGACUUGCCUUGGUCACAGUGUCUGUCCACGGCAGUAAGACCCUAAGACAACCAGUCAUUAUGGAACCAGUUACAGCCUGAUUUAUAAGGCUGUUUGCUAUAUCACCUUUGAGAGAGCAUGUGGGGAAUUCUUAUCUGGGUGGCUUUUAACUAAAGCCUUGGGCUAUUAUCUCCUGGACUCAGGGAAGUCUGUAACCAGCAAUGCUCACUGUGUGAGCAACUCAGAGUCAAAUAUUAUCAGUCAACAGGGAAAGGUUGGUUACUAUGACCUUCAGCCUUCCUUCCACCUUACUUAACUUUAAAAAAACCUCUUAUUUUUAUUGAUAAGAAACUAUUUCAAACAAAAAAAAAUCUAUACUUGUCCCUUCUCUGUAUGAGGGCAAUAGCUUUUCUCUGGUUAUAUUUUAUUUUAUGCCUAGGUAGCCUGGAGCUGCCAUAACAGUGUACCACAGACCAAGUAGCUUAAGCAACAGGAUUUAUUUCCUGCCCCAAAGUCCAGAGUCAAAGUAUCAGUGGAUUGGUUUCUUCUCAGGCCUCUCUCUUGCUUGUGGCUGCCGCUGCCCUUCCCAAAGCUUCCUGUGGUCUUUCAUCUGUGCUCUAAUCUAAUCUUUUCUUAGGAGGGUACCAGUUAGUGUUGGAUGAGGCCCAUGGUGACGACCUCACUUAGCCUUAAUUACAUGUUUAAAGGCAUUAUUUGCACACAGUCACUUCCUCUGGUGUUGGGGACAAUAUUUAUCCCUCCCUCACAGAUACACAGAAACACUGUACAGAGGGCAGGUUGUAUUAACAUAAUAUACGUACAGGGGGAGAGAGAGAGAGAGAGAACAACAAUUAAAGAAAAAGAGGCCACGAAUUUUUCUGAGAGUUGGGGAGCAUUGCACGUAAGGGUUUAGAGAAAGGAAAGGGAAGGGGGAAAUGAUGUAAUCAUAUAUAAUCUCAGAAAAAUAUUUUUAAAAGUAUGUGGGUUGCUUUCUUCUCUCCCUCCUCCUUCUCCCCUUCCUCCUUCCCCCCUCCUCCCCCACCUCCUCCUCCUCCUCUUUAUUUCAUAUGCGUUGGUGUUUUGCCUGUAUGUAUGUCUGCGGGAAAGUGUCAGAUCUCAGGGUAACAGUUGUGAGCUGUGUGGGUGCUAGGAAUUGAACCUGCGUCCCCUGGAAGAUAAGUCAGUACCCUUAACCGCUGAGCCAUCUUUCCAACCCCCACGGUUCUUCUCAAGCGUGUUCUCUAUACUGUACAUUAAUUGGCUAUGGCAUCGUUUAUGCAGUAUAUGCUUUAUGUUGGCUCUUUGUUUUCAAAACACUAUUUUUUUAUCCUUGAUGUCUUUUCUUGGCUGCAGCAGCUUCCUUCUUUAAUCUCACUCAUUUGAUUUGUUACUAUAUCAGAUUUAUCUCCAGAGCCUGAUCACUGUGAUUGGAACUUUCAAGAUUUCAAUACCAAUCUGGUAAAUACCAAGUGACUCCAUUUCUCUUCCAGGUGACUAGCCAUAUUUUUAAGUUAGUCCAAACCUUCCACCUAUACAAUGUACUGAGUAGUGUUUACACGUACAGUAUACAGGAUACACUGGCUGUUGAACGGCAGCCUUUCCUUUCAGCCCCACUGGUACAGCUCCUCUAGGCCUAUUUUCAGAACACUAAUGCAUUCUGCAUUACAUACAGUAUAUUACCAUGCAUUCCUGUAUGCUAGUUUUAUUUAUUUGUUGGCAAAUACUACAUUGUAUAAAUUAGGCUGGUCAUAGGUUGAGACAGGGCCUCUAUAGUCCAGUAGAGACAGGAUCUGUCCAUGGAGUCUGGAACUCACUACAUAAACUAGACGGGCUGCCUGCCUCAGCCUCCCAAGUGCUGGGAUUAAAGUCAUGGACCACAAUGUCUGGCUUCACUUUCAAAUACUUUUUUGCAGAAUAAAAACACUGCACUGGUGGUAGAACUUUUUUUUUUUCUGGUUCUUUUUUUCGGAGCUGGGGACCAAACCCAGGGCCUUGCACUUGCUAGGCAAGUGCUCUACCACUGAGCUAAAUCCCAACCCUGGUGGUAGAACUUUGACAUAAAUGUUUUCAUCUCCUCAAGGUUCCAGCACCAUCUCUUUCUGUGGAGAUCACAUGGGUGCGUGGGUUGGGAAGAAUCUGUUAGGCAUGUCCAUGAUCUAAGUUUCUUCAGGGAAAAUACAGUAUCAGAGCAGCAGGAAAAUCAUAAGAAGGGAAGAUCUACGACACUUGAAAAAAGUUAGGGAAGGCCAUUGAGUCCCACACAAUGCUAAAUUCUGUUAGAGGGUGACCCCAGGAGAUACUCAUGGUUAUAAGUCCCUGCUACGUUAUCUAAUCCCAAGUACUCAGCCAUAAACACAUGUACACAUGAGCAACACUAAAUGGACUCAGUAAUGUUAGUAGAGAGUGUGUGUGUGUGUGUGUGUGUGUGUGUGUGUGUGUAGCAAUAAUUACAGAAGUCAAUAACUCAAGAGGGAAUGAGGAAACUGGAAGGAGUUGUAUGGAACAACAGAAAUGAUGCAAAUACAAUAUAUAUGAAAUUCUCCAUUUUUAAAUUUAAAAAGUAAUUAGUUAUUGAAAUUAUUAAUUAUUAUAUAUUGGAGAUACAUACAGAGUAGCUCACACUUUUAAUCCUAGUCUGAUCUACAGAGUGAGUUUUAGGGCAGCCAGAGCUACCUAGUAAGAACCUGACUCAGGAAAAAACAAAUGAGGGGCUAGAGAAAUGGCUCAGAGAUUAAGAUUUCUGACUGCUCAUCCAGUGGUCCCAAGUUCAAUUCCCAGCAACCACAUAGUGGUUCACAACCAUCUGUAAUGAGAUCUGAUGUCUGAAGACAGCAACAGUGUACGCAUAUACAUUAAAUAAAUAAUAUUUUUUUAAAAAGGAAGAAAAAACAAAUGAACAGAACAUCAAACAUAAGAUAUAUACAUUAUAUUGGAUUUAUGCAUGUUUAUGUGUAUUAUAUGUAAUGGCAUGAAAUAUAUACUGACAUCUAUGUAUGCACAGAUAGAUGAUAGAUAGAAAGAUAGAUGAUAGAUAGAUCUAUGAUUGAUAGAAGAUAGGUCUAUGAUAGAUAGAUAGAUAGAUAGAUAGAUAGAUAGAUAGAUAGAUAGAUAGAUGGGAUAAUUGGGAGGCAUUCCAGUGUAGCAAAGGCUUUGACACAUUGCAUGUGCCAUAUCCCCACUCUACUUAUUCACAAGCUGAGUAACCUUGGGCCAGGCAUUCAAGCUCUGCACCUCAAUUCCUUCUUCUGUAAAAUGGGAGGAUAAUGGUGCCUAAGUCAUAGGGUGCUAUGAAGAUGAAGUGAAUUGCUACGUGAAGGAGUUACUGACACACAAAGAGAGUUCACCUACUAUGGAAGUUGUUAAACUGAUUAUUUCUGGGAAACAUUACAAGGCUACUUCUGUAGUCAGGGAAAUCGCUACAUAUUAGGACUGCCCCUGCAGCAAUUAGAACCAUGUGAUAGAUUUGGAUGACAAACUAGGAUUAGGAUCAACUUCUCAGAAAAAUUCCAAUUUUAUUACAAUAUUAAUAGAUAAGGGGGUGGCAUCAUUGGAGAAAGGAAGGACUGGCGACUUUACAGGAUCUUCUGGGGGGAGUGAUUGGAGAUUUGCCUUUAAAAGACUACUGCUAAAGCUGAUCAAUGUUCUUCUGUAGGGUGUGGCCGGCGUCCUGUCCACCUCUGUAGUAACACGCACAUGAGCAGUUCCACUGAGUGCCUCUGAUAGGCUGCCCUUGUUUGUCCUUUGGUUGAGCACCCACCAGGCAUGGGAGCCAGGAGGCAGGCAGGCAUCCUUUAGGAGAAUUUUCUUUCAGUUCAGGCUGGAGGAGAGUCUUUACAACUGCCAGUGCCCUGAACAACUAAGUCACAGUGUCUGGAAUGGGUCCCAGGCAUCUGCACUGUUCAAGCCUCCUAUGUGAUUACUAUGUGUGGUCAGCAUUCAUAACCAUUGCUUUAUGGGUUGUUACUUGAUAUGGUAAGGUAUUAAAAUUUAAUUUAUUAGGAACAACACUCACCGUACAGGAUGUUGAUGAAGAGAUUUGAUUAUUCCACUGUGCUUCCUGUUAUGGCCCCACCUUGGCAGGUACACCUUGCAUUUAAAUUCUCCUAAAGAAUAUUAAUUGCUCAAGCAGUAUUAAAA
Non-coding RNA from Rattus norvegicus (Norway rat), 9800 nucleotides. NCBI's taxonomy places the organism in Eukaryota, Metazoa, Chordata, Mammalia, Rodentia, Muridae. The record is from RefSeq and is a predicted model, not a curated record.